GACGAACGCUGGCGGCGCGCUUAACACAUGCAAGUCGAGCGAAAACCAGGGCUUCGGCUCUGGGGACAGCGGCGAACGGGUGAGUAACACGUGGAUAACCUGCCCUCGGCACCGGGAUAGCCCGGGGAAACUCGGAUUAAUACCGGAUAGCCCUUCCGACUCUCGAGUCGGUCCGAAAAGGUAGCUUCGGCCUCUGGCCGAGGAUGGGUCCGCGGCGGAUUAGCUUGUUGGUGGGGUAACGGCCUACCAAGGCUU
RNAcentral lists this ribosomal RNA (255 nucleotides) under uncultured Actinomycetes bacterium. RNAcentral's name for it is "uncultured actinobacterium partial 16S ribosomal RNA". It matches the Rfam family "Bacterial small subunit ribosomal RNA", at positions 28 to 276 of the family's 1533-position model. The record is from RNAcentral. Lineage: Bacteria; Bacillati; Actinomycetota; Actinomycetes.